UCGAUAGCUUUUUUUUGGUAGAGGUAGUUUGGAUGUAUACGAUUUUGUGAUUACAGCCAGUUACACCCUUAUAACCAUUUAUUUUGAGCCAUAAAUACAGAGGUAAGGUGGAUGGAGUGUUGUCAUGUAGACUAUUGAGAUUUUCCAUCGUAUUGGCCUUCAUGUAAGCUCUUGAGUAUCUGAGUAGUAUUGCCUCCUCUCUCACUGCUGAAGUACCACAACAUGUCUUUGUCUGUUCGUAGAUGCCACAGCGCCCGUUAGGGUUGUGGUGGUCCUGGACCUCACACCCCAGCAGUUCCAUCAGUUAUUCCGGGACAACAUUACUGGGGUGCCUGAUGAAUUCGAACAUUGCCGGGUAAAUCGACAGCGGGAGGUGGUGCCCCUCACACAGCAGUGCCCAAUGGACAUUCAUACCCACCAGGCACUGCAACGGUCCAAUUUAUACCUUCGGCCAAAGAAUUCCACCAGUGAGGAACUCACAAUGAG
Long non-coding RNA from Gadus chalcogrammus (walleye pollock), 486 nucleotides. RefSeq lists it as uncharacterized. The transcript has 3 exons. NCBI's taxonomy places the organism in Eukaryota, Metazoa, Chordata, Actinopteri, Gadiformes, Gadidae. The record is from RefSeq and is a predicted model, not a curated record.